Molecule: ribosomal RNA, 2878 nt
Filed under: Moraxella bovoculi
Lineage: Bacteria; Pseudomonadati; Pseudomonadota; Gammaproteobacteria; Moraxellales; Moraxellaceae
Description: bacterial LSU rRNA
Rfam family: Bacterial large subunit ribosomal RNA
Source: RNAcentral
GUUGUAUGGUCAAGUAAUGAAGUGCACAUGGUGGAUGCCUUGGCAGUCAGAGGCGAUGAAAGACGUGAUAGCCUGCGAUAAGCGUCGGUGAGGUGGCAAUAUCCUGUGACCCGGCGAUUUCUGAAUGGGGAAACCCAGCCAACAUAAGUUGGCUAUCCUAACCUUUGGUUAGGAGGCGAACCGGGAGAAGUGAAACAUCUCAGUACCCCGAGGAAAAGACAUCAAUAGAGAUUCCCCAAGUAGCGGCGAGCGAACGGGGAGUAGCCGAUCAAACUUGUAGUAGCAAAAUGGCGUGGGAAAGCCAACCAUAGUAGGUGAUAGUCCUGUAUGCGAAACUGCAAAUGCGACAUAUUAAGUAGGGCGAGACACGUGAAAUCUUGUCUGAAGAUGGGGGGACCAUCCUCCAAGGCUAAAUACUCCUGACUGACCGAUAGUGAACCAGUACCGUGAGGGAAAGGCGAAAAGAACCCCUGUUAGGGGAGUGAAAUAGAACCUGAAACCGUGUGCAUACAAGCAGUCGGAGCCCACUUGUUGGGUGACGGCGUACCUUUUGUAUAAUGGGUCAGCGACUUAUAUUCUGUAGCAAGGUUAACCGUUUAGGGGAGCCGUAGGGAAACCGAGUCUUAAUAGGGCGAAUUAAGUUGCAGGGUAUAGACCCGAAACCGAGUGAUCUAUCCAUGAGCAGGUUGAAAGUGCCGUAACAGGCACCGGAGGACCGAACCCACUGUCGUUGAAAAGCCAGGGGAUGACUUGUGGAUAGGGGUGAAAGGCUAAUCAAACUCGGUGAUAGCUGGUUCUCCCCGAAAGCUAUUUAGGUAGCGCCUCGGACGAACACCAUUGGGGGUAGAGCACUGUUUCGGCUAGGGGGUCAUCCCGACUUACCAAACCGAUGCAAACUCCGAAUACCGAUGAGUGAUAUCCGGGAGACAGACGGCGGGUGCUAACGUCCGUCGUCAAGAGGGAAACAACCCAGACCGCCAGCUAAGGCCCCAAAUUCCUAGUUAAGUGGGAAACGAUGUGGGAAGGCACAGACAGCUAGGAUGUUGGCUUAGAAGCAGCCAUCAUUUAAAGAAAGCGUAAUAGCUCACUAGUCGAGUCGGCCUGCGCGGAAGAUGUAACGGGGCUCAAACUAGGAGCCGAAGCUGCGGAUUUAAUUGUUUCAAUUAAGUGGUAGGGGAGCGUUGUGUAAGCCUGUGAAGGUGUAUCGUAAGGUAUGCUGGAGGUAUCACAAGAGCGAAUGCUGACGUGAGUAACGACAAAACGGGUGAAAAGCCCGUUCGCCGGAAGACCAAGGGUUCCAGUCCAACGUUAAUCGGGGCUGGGUGAGUCGACCCCUAAGGCGAGGCCGAAAGGCGUAGUCGAUGGGAAAUCGGUUAAUAUUCCGAUACUUGUUUAUGAUGCGAUGGAGGGACGGAGAAGGUUAUGUCAGCCUGGCGUUGGUUGUCCAGGUGGAAGGAUGUAGGUAGGUUUAGUAGGCAAAUCCGCUAGACUAUUACUGAGAUCUGAUAGCAAGCCAGUUUACUGGCGAAGUGGCAAAUACCCUGCUUCCAGGAAAAGCUUCUAAGCGAUAGUCAUAAACAAAUCGUACCCGAAACCGACACAGGUGGUCAGGUAGAGAAUACCAAGGCGCUUGAGAGAACUCUGCUGAAGGAACUAGGCAAAAUGGUACCGUAACUUCGGGAGAAGGUACGCUGCCGAUGGUGAUUAAACUUGCUUUAUGAGCUGUUGGCAGUCGCAGAUACCAGGCUGCUGCAACUGUUUAUUAAAAACACAGCACUCUGCAAACACGAAAGUGGACGUAUAGGGUGUGAUGCCUGCCCGGUGCUGGAAGGUUAAUUGAUGGGGUUAGCGUAUGCGAAGCUCUUGAUCGAAGCCCCAGUAAACGGCGGCCGUAACUAUAACGGUCCUAAGGUAGCGAAAUUCCUUGUCGGGUAAGUUCCGACCUGCACGAAUGGCAUAAUGAUGGCAGCGCUGUCUCCAGCAGAGACUCAGUGAAAUCGAAAUCGCAGUGAAGAUGCUGUGUACCCGCGGCUAGACGGAAAGACCCCGUGAACCUUUACUACAGCUUUACAUUGAACUUUGACCUAACUUGUGUAGGAUAGGUGGGAGGCUUUGAAGUGGCGACGCCAGUUGCCAUGGAGCCAUCCUUGAAAUACCACCCUGGUUAUGUUGGGGUUCUAACUUGAGAUUAACAGAUCUAAGGACAAUGUAUGGUGGGUAGUUUGACUGGGGCGGUCUCCUCCUAAAGAGUAACGGAGGAGUACGAAGGUGCGCUCAGAACGGUCGGAAAUCGUUCAAAGAGUAUAAAGGCAAAAGCGCGCUUAACUGCGAGACCCACAAGUCGAGCAGGUACGAAAGUAGGUCUUAGUGAUCCGGUGGUUCUGUAUGGAAGGGCCAUCGCUCAACGGAUAAAAGGUACUCUGGGGAUAACAGGCUGAUACCGCCCAAGAGUUCAUAUCGACGGCGGUGUUUGGCACCUCGAUGUCGGCUCAUCUCAUCCUGGGGCUGAAGCAGGUCCCAAGGGUAUGGCUGUUCGCCAUUUAAAGAGGUACGCGAGCUGGGUUUAGAACGUCGUGAGACAGUUCGGUCCCUAUCUACCGUGGGCGUUGGAAAUUUGAGAGGAUCUGCUCCUAGUACGAGAGGACCAGAGUGGACGAACCUCUGGUGUUCCGGUUGUUUCGCCAGAAGCAUCGCCGGGUAGCUACGUUCGGAUGGGAUAACCGCUGAAAGCAUCUAAGCGGGAAGCCCACCUCAAGAUAAGAUUUCCCUAAAGAGCCGUUGUAGACUACGACGUUGAUAGGUUGGGUGUGGAAGCAUGGUGACAUGUGUAGCUAACCAAUACUAAUUGCUCGUUUGGCUUGACCAUACAACACCCAAG